UGCAUGGCUGUCGUCAGCUCGUGUUGUGAAAUGUUGGGUUAAGUCCCGCAACGAGCGCAACCCUUAUCCUUUGUUGCCAGCGAUUCGGUCGGGAACUCAAAGGAGACUGCCAGUGAUAAACUGGAGGAAGGUGGGGAUGACGUCAAGUCAUCAUGGCCCUUACGAGUAGGGCUACACACGUGCUACAAUGGCAUAUACAAAGAGAAGCGACCUCGCGAGAGCAAGCGGACCUCAUAAAGUAUGUCGUAGUCCGGAUUGGAGUCUGCAACUCGACUCCAUGAAGUCGGAAUCGCUAGUAAUCGUGGAUCAGAAUGCCACGGUGAAUACGUUCCCGGGCCUUGUACACACCGCCCGUCACACCAUGGGAGUGGGUUGCAAAAGAAGUAGGUAGCUUAACCUUCGGGAGGGCGCUUACCACUUUGUGAUUCAUGACUGGGGUGAAGUCGUAACAAGGUAGCCGUAAUCUAGAUGC
RNAcentral lists this ribosomal RNA (472 nucleotides) under Citrobacter amalonaticus. Its description in RNAcentral is "bacterial SSU rRNA". It matches the Rfam family "Bacterial small subunit ribosomal RNA", at positions 1042 to 1515 of the family's 1533-position model. The record is from RNAcentral. Lineage: Bacteria; Pseudomonadati; Pseudomonadota; Gammaproteobacteria; Enterobacterales; Enterobacteriaceae.